Molecule: long non-coding RNA, 330 nt
Organism: Erinaceus europaeus (western European hedgehog)
Lineage: Eukaryota; Metazoa; Chordata; Mammalia; Eulipotyphla; Erinaceidae
Exons: 2
Source: RefSeq, a predicted model, not a curated record
AGGAGAAGGAGAAGGAGGAGAAGGAGAAGGAGAAGGAGACAGCCUUUUGGAUCUGCCCUCAAGAAAUGUCCAAACUGGAAGGCCCAGAAAACCUGGAGUACUCACCCAUGUGGCACAGUGAUGAGGACUGUCAAGGGGAAACAUGCAACGUGCAGGCUGAGAGGGCCAAGAAGGGCUACCUUCUCUUCCAAGACGAGCACAUUUCUCUGACACCAUCUUCCCAGACGAUAUUUCUGGCCCAAGCCCAUGCUAGCUAUCAAGCUCAAGCAAAGAUUACUAACACGUAGGAUCCUAGGAGCAUCCUAAAAUAAACUUCCUGGGUUUCUUCUA